This 253-nucleotide ribosomal RNA is filed under the name uncultured bacterium. RNAcentral describes it as "partial 16S ribosomal RNA". It matches the Rfam family "Bacterial small subunit ribosomal RNA", at positions 524 to 776 of the family's 1533-position model. The record is from RNAcentral.
GACGAGGGGUCCUAGCGUUGUUCGGAAUCAUUGGGCGUAAAGCGUGUGUAGGCUGCCAUUCAAGUCAGUUGUGAAAUCCCCGGGCUCAACCCGGGAAGUGCUUCUGAUACUGUUUGGCUUGAGUACUGGAGAGGAUAGUAGAAUUCCUGGUGUAGUGAUGAAAUACGUAGAUAUCAGGAGGAAUACCGGUGGCGAAGGCGGCUAUCUGGCCAUGUACUGACGCUGAGACACGAAAGCCAGGGGAGCAAACGGG